This is a long non-coding RNA of Impatiens glandulifera, 635 nucleotides long. RefSeq lists it as uncharacterized. The transcript is spliced from 5 exons. The record is from RefSeq and is a predicted model, not a curated record. NCBI's taxonomy places the organism in Eukaryota, Viridiplantae, Streptophyta, Magnoliopsida, Ericales, Balsaminaceae.
UGGACUGAAAAUGGCAACCGCCAAGGAGGAGCCAAAUGGGAAUCGGGUGAGGGAGAAAAUUCUCUCCAUAUUCAAAGCAGUCGAAUCUGACGAAGGCGAAUUCCAUCGGUAUCGGAAUUGACUGAUUCCAUUCGAUUCUGUUUUGCCUGGAAGAUUACGGCAUUUCGAAACUCAGUCAACAGACGUGAAGCCAGGCAAACCUACGGAUGCAUGAUUCUAGGAAUCUGAAGAAGGCGAUUUCUCCGGUCUAGAUUAUGUUACAGUCCUGCAAGAUCGUGUGAUUUCGGAAUCUAUCAAAAGUCAUCAGAUGCGUAUAAACUGGUUCAGAGAUGAAUCGAACAAAAUUACAGAGAAUACAAACUCCCUUUAGACGCCCAAGAAGAAGAAGAAGCAACAAGCUUUGCCUAUAUUGAUCUUUGGGUCGACGGAAUCACAAGAAGCAACCUAGCUAGCUAUCUCCGACAAGUUGUCCAGGUAAUUAAUAGUUUUUCUUUACGAUUAAUGACAUAGAUUAUAUGUUUGGUGAUUUGAUAUGAAUUAAGAAUUUGGUGAAGAUAUUUUAUAUUGAUUGUGUUUGUUGUGACGAAUGAUUAUUAGAUACUAUGAUUAGAUGAAGUUUUAAAUGAGAUAGAAUA